Molecule: ribosomal RNA, 1893 nt
Filed under: Protapion fulvipes
Lineage: Eukaryota; Metazoa; Arthropoda; Insecta; Coleoptera; Brentidae
Description: partial 16S ribosomal RNA
Rfam family: tRNA (bases 1710-1771)
Source: RNAcentral
UUCAGAGGAACCUGUUCUAUAAUUGAUAGUCCACGAUUUAAUUAACUUAUUUUAGUAAUUUACAUAUCGUCGUAGAUUGAAUAUUUUUUUAGAAUAAUAAUAUUCAAGAUUUUUUAUGAAAAAUUAAAUCAGAUCAAGGUGUAGUUUAUAAAUAAGAAGAAAUGGGUUACAAUAAAUUUAUUUAUACAGAUAAUUUAUUUAAAAUUGAUUUGAAGGUGGAUUUGAAAGUAAUUUUAAUUAAUUAAUUAAAAUGAUUUUAGCUCUAAAAUAUGCACAUAUCGCCCGUCAUUUUCACUAUAAAGUGAAACAAGUCGUAACAUAGUAGGUGUACUGGAAAGUGUACCUAGAAAGACAAAUUAGAGCUUGAUAUAAAGCAUUUUAUUUACAUUAAAAAGUUUACUGUGAAAUUCAGUAUAAUUUGAAUUUAAAAUAUUAUUUAAAUUUAAAAUUUUUAUUUAUUUAAAUAAAAUAAUUUAUUGUUUAAUUAAAAAAAAGAAUUAAUUUAUUUAAUUAUAGAGAAUUAGUAUUGUGAAAGAAAUAUAAAAAAUUUUUUAAAGAAUAAUUUAAUUUUAGUACCUUGUGCAUCAGGGUUUAUUAAAAAAUAAUUAUUAAUUUAAUUUUCUCGAAUUUAAAAGAGUUAUUUAUAUAUCAUUUUUAUUGUUUUAUAAAUAUUAAUAAUAUAUAAAUAGUAAUGAAAUGUUAUUCGUUUUUAAAUAUAUCUAGUUUUUUAAGAAAUAAAUUUAAUUUAUUUAAUAAAAAUAUUUUUUUUAAUUUUUAAUUAAAUGUUAUUAUUAUUUAAUAUUUUAAGGGAUGAGCUUUAAAAUAAAAUUUUAAAAAUGAAUAAAUUGUAUUGAAUAAAUAGGAUUAUAAAUUUUCAUUUUUAUUAAUAUGUUAUAAUUAUUUUAAUUUUUUAUAUAAUUUAUAUUUAUUUUAAAUUUUUUAUUAAAAUGUUAAUUUAAAUUUUUAUAAUUAGGAAAUAAUGAUAAAAUUAGUAUAAAUAAUAGUAAAUUAUUAUUUUAGAUUAAGGUUAUAUAAAGGAAUUCGGCAAAAAAUUUUCACCUGUUAAUAAAAACAUGGCCUUUUGACAAUAAUUUAAGGUCUAACCUGCCCAAUGAAAAUUUAAAUGGCCGCGGUAUUUUGACCGUGCAAAGGUAGCAUAAUCAUUUGUUUUUUAAUUGAAAGCUGGAAUGAAGGGUUGAAUGAGAAAAUAACUGUCUCUAUUUAAUUUUUAUAGAAUUUUAUUUUUAAGUUAAAAAGCUUAAAUUUUAUUUGAAGACGAGAAGACCCUAUAGAGUUUAAUAGUUUAAUUAAUUUAAAUUAAUUAGAAUUAAUUUAAUGAAAAUUAAUUAAUUAUUUGAUUGGGGUGAUUAAAAAAUUUAAUUAACUUUUUUUGUAUUUUUACAUUAAUUAAUGAAAAUAUGAUCCUUUUUAUAAGAUUAAAAGAAUAAAUUACCUUAGGGAUAACAGCGUAAUUUUUUUUUAGAGUUCUAAUCGAAAGAAAAGAUUGCGACCUCGAUGUUGGAUUAAAAUUAAUUUUUGGCGUAGCAGUUAAAUAAUUUGGGUCUGUUCGACCUUUAAAAUUUUACUUGAUCUGAGUUCAAACCGGUGUGAGCCAGGUUGGUUUCUAUCUCAAAUUAGUUAACAUAUUUUAGUACGAAAGGACCAAAUAUGUAUUUAAUAAAUUUAUUAUAUUAGAAUAAUUUUAAAAUGUUAUUUUGGCAGAUUAGUGCAAUAGAUUUAGAAUCUAUAUAUGUAAAUUUUACAAAUAAUACUUGAUUUUUAAGGAUUUAAUAAUAAUAUUGAUUUCGAGAGUAAUUUUAGCUUUGUGUGUAAUAAUUGGAGUAGCUUUUUUAACUUUAUUAGAACGUAAAGUUUUAGGAUAUAUUCAAAUUC